RNAcentral lists this ribosomal RNA (367 nucleotides) under uncultured bacterium. RNAcentral describes it as "bacterial SSU rRNA". It matches the Rfam family "Bacterial small subunit ribosomal RNA", at positions 29 to 412 of the family's 1533-position model. The record is from RNAcentral.
AACGAACGCUGGCGGCAUGCCUAACACAUGCAAGUCGAACGGGAUCCUAGCUUGCUAGGUGAGAGUGGCGGACGGGUGAGUAACACGUGGGAAUCUGCCUUUUGGUUCGGGAUAACCGCGGGAAACUGCGGCUAAUACCGAAUGCCCUCGAGAGAGGAAAGAUUUAUCGCCAGAAGAGGAGCCCGCGUCCGAUUAGGUAGUUGGUGGGGUAAAGGCCUACCAAGCCGACGAUCGGUAGCUGGUCUGAGAGGAUGAUCAGCCACACUGGGACUGAGAUACGGCCCAGACUCCUACGGGAGGCAGCAGUGGGGGAAUAUUGGGACAAUGGGGGCGAACCCUGAUCCAGCAAUGCCGCGUGAGUGAUGAA